AAAUUGAAGAGUUUGAUCAUGGCUCAGAUUGAACGCUGGCGGCAGGCCUAACACAUGCAAGUCGAACGGUAGCACAGAGAGCUUGCUCUCGGGUGACGAGUGGCGGACGGGUGAGUAAUGUCUGGGAAACUGCCUGAUGGAGGGGGAUAACUACUGGAAACGGUGGCUAAUACCGCAUAACGUCGCAAGACCAAAGAGGGGGACCUUCGGGCCUCUUGCCAUCAGAUGUGCCCAGAUGGGAUUAGCUAGUUGGUGAGGUAACGGCUCACCAAGG
RNAcentral lists this ribosomal RNA (274 nucleotides) under Salmonella enterica. RNAcentral describes it as "partial 16S ribosomal RNA". It matches the Rfam family "Bacterial small subunit ribosomal RNA", at positions 1 to 273 of the family's 1533-position model. Lineage: Bacteria; Pseudomonadati; Pseudomonadota; Gammaproteobacteria; Enterobacterales; Enterobacteriaceae. The record is from RNAcentral.